UUACACUUGUACAACCGGUAAGGCAACGUCAUGGAAUGUCAAGCCAAAAUAUGCUUCUCGACGAAUCUAAACGUUCCAUAACGUUGCCGAUAAGAGCUGUUACCUGUAUGUGUGAACUUUCACCUUUAAAAUUCAUUUUACAAUAUUUUGAUGUGACUUUGUCGGUAGGUGACGUGACAUUAACGUUCUGUAUAGCGGGAAUCGCUCUUUAUCAAUAUCAACUUAACCUUCUGCCUGUCUUCUGCAUUUGAAGUUUGUAUAUCUUCAAUUUUCUUUACGAAAUCUGUAAUCUAAUCCGCUACAAAACAAUCGUUCCUUCAGACACG
RNAcentral lists this long non-coding RNA (326 nucleotides) under Androctonus crassicauda. Lineage: Eukaryota; Metazoa; Arthropoda; Arachnida; Scorpiones; Buthidae. The record is from RNAcentral.